This is a long non-coding RNA of Pseudophryne corroboree (corroboree frog), 354 nucleotides long. RefSeq lists it as uncharacterized. NCBI's taxonomy places the organism in Eukaryota, Metazoa, Chordata, Amphibia, Anura, Myobatrachidae. The transcript is spliced from 2 exons. The record is from RefSeq and is a predicted model, not a curated record.
AGGCUCGCAGAGCUGUUCAAGUGAGCGAGGGAACAGAAAUUGCAAUUAUCGUCAUUACCGCGCUGUAAUUGAAGUGUCAUGACAGAUUCAUGAGUUCAUCAAUAAAACAUCAGGAAAGCUGGCCAGUUUGCUGAGGAACCGGAGAGUGCCGGAGACUGACACAUCCCAAUGGAGGAGAGUCUGGAAGUGGAAGUUAGGCAAGGAGAGGAGCCAGCAAUCACCCAGCAGAGUCUCACAGCUGAAAGAAGAGCCGUGGAACACCUGCGGAGAGCCCUGGCUAGUGAGAGGAGACGCUGGUGAUACUGUCAUGGGUGGUGUCUGUGAUUGCUGUUUUAAAAUAAACUGUCCAGCAUU